ACCAUCUCCCUAGCAAAUUCAGGAUCCACAACUAAGCUAGCCAAAUGGGGAUUCCUCUGAUAAGCCUUCUUAAUCCUAUCCAAAAACACUGCCCUUAUAAUACAGCCACCUUUCCAAAUCCUGGCCAACUCCCCCAAAUUCAAAUUCCACCCCUUCUCAUUACUCUUAGCCCUCAACAAGUUCAUCCCUUGGGCGUAACUACAAAUC
RNAcentral lists this unclassified non-coding RNA (207 nucleotides) under Hevea brasiliensis (rubber tree). The record is from RNAcentral. Lineage: Eukaryota; Viridiplantae; Streptophyta; Magnoliopsida; Malpighiales; Euphorbiaceae.